This 253-nucleotide ribosomal RNA is filed under the name uncultured bacterium. RNAcentral's name for it is "partial 16S ribosomal RNA". It matches the Rfam family "Bacterial small subunit ribosomal RNA", at positions 524 to 776 of the family's 1533-position model. The record is from RNAcentral.
UACAGAGGGUGCGAGCGUUAAUCGGAAUUACUGGGCGUAAAGCGCACGUAGGUGGCUAUGUAAGUCGGGUGUGAAAGCCCGGGGCUUACCCCCGGAAGUGCAUUGGAAACUGGGAGGCUGGAGUACCGGAGAGGAAGGUGGAAUUCCUGGUGUAGCGGUGAAAUGCGUAGAUAUCAGGAGGAACACCGGUGGCGAAGGCGGCCUUCUGGACGGAUACUGACGCUGAGACGCGAAAGCGUGGGGAGCAAACAGG